RNAcentral lists this ribosomal RNA (402 nucleotides) under uncultured Eubacteriales bacterium. RNAcentral's name for it is "bacterial SSU rRNA". It matches the Rfam family "Bacterial small subunit ribosomal RNA", at positions 378 to 774 of the family's 1533-position model. Lineage: Bacteria; Bacillati; Bacillota; Clostridia; Eubacteriales. The record is from RNAcentral.
CAAGCCUGAUCCAGCAAUGCCGCGUGCAGGAUGAAGGCCUUCGGGUUGUAAACUGCUUUUGUACGGAACGAAAAGCCUCUCUCUAAUACAGGGGGGUGAUGACGGUACCGUAAGAAUAAGCACCGGCUAACUACGUGCCAGCAGCCGCGGUAAUACGUAGGGGGCGAGCGUUGUCCGGAUUUACUGGGCGUAAAGGGUGCGUAGGCGGCCUUGUAAGUCAGAUGUGAAGGCUACGGCUCAACCGUAGUAAGCAUUUGAAACUGCAGGGCUUGAGUGCAGGAGAGGAGAGUGGAAUUCCUAGUGUAGCGGUGAAAUGCGUAGAUAUUAGGAGGAACACCAGUGGCGAAGGCGACUCUCUGGACUGUAACUGACGCUGAGGCACGAAAGCGUGGGGAGCAAACA